RNAcentral lists this long non-coding RNA (898 nucleotides) under Homo sapiens (human). RNAcentral describes it as "Novel transcript, antisense to AFF1". The record is from RNAcentral. Lineage: Eukaryota; Metazoa; Chordata; Mammalia; Primates; Hominidae.
AACAGAGACUGGUUCAAGGGAGAUUCGGACACAUCUCCACCUCCAAAGCCAAGUGCCUUCCCGGGAUGAUCUGCAUAACAAUUUGCGGGUGCUGGUGGUGGAGAAGCUCCGGGAAGAGAAAACUAGCCGGACGGUAUCGAACCGCCCGCAGGCCCGUCGCAGCUCCAUUAAUGCAACUACCAUUACACUAAGUAUCUCCUAUAGGGCUCUUCAAACUGUGGUCAACUUAGUAAAUGAUGUUGACAGUGGAAGUGUGAUCAUUUUAUUUUCCUGCCUUUGGAAUUGAAGAUUGUAAUUUUGCAAAAAUUUUGUUGAAGAUGAUGUAGCUUUGGUUCAGAGAGCUGGAGUACAAUGGCACCAUCUCAGCUCGCCGCAACCUCCACCUCCUGGGUUCAAGCGAUUCUCCUGCCUCAGCCUCCCGAGUAGCUGGGAUUACAGGUUCCAAGUCUCUUCUUCGGCCUCUCAAACAUGGUACCAUCCCUAAUGAAGUCAACGGGUCCAGCAUGACAGGAUGGAAGUACAAGUGUCAGCACCUAUGUGAGUCCCAAGAGGGGAAAUUAGAAACAAAAAGGAAGAAGAGGACAUAGGCCAGGCACGGCGGCUCACGCCUGUAAUCCCAACACUUUGGGAGGCCAAGGUGGGCAGAUCACCUGAGGUCAGGAGUUCAAGACCAGCCUGGUCAACAUGGCAAAAGCCCAUCUCUACUAAAAAAUACAAAAAAUUAGCCAGGCGUGGUGGUGGGAGCCUGUAAUCCCACCUACUCGGGAGGCUGAGGCAGGAGAAUUGCUUCAAUCUGGGAGGCAGAGGUUGCAGUGAGCUGAGAUCGUGCCAUUGCACUCCAGCCUGGGCGACAGAGUAAGACUCUGUCUCAGAAAAAAAAAAAAAAAAAGGAAAAAAA